This 443-nucleotide ribosomal RNA is filed under the name uncultured bacterium. RNAcentral describes it as "partial 16S ribosomal RNA". It matches the Rfam family "Bacterial small subunit ribosomal RNA", at positions 338 to 795 of the family's 1533-position model. The record is from RNAcentral.
CCUACGGGGUGCAGCAGUGGGGAAUAUUUGGCAAUGGGCGCAAGCCUGACCCAGCAACGCCGCGUGAAGGAAGAAGGCUUUCGGGUUGUAAACUUCUUUUCUGAGGGACGAAGAAAGUGACGGUACCUCAGGAAUAAGCCACGGCUAAAUACGUGCCAGCAGCCGCGGGAAUACGUAGGUGGCAAGCGUUAUCCGUGUUGAUUGGGUGUAAAGGGCGUGUAGGCGGGAAAGCAAGUCAGAUGUGAAAACUCAGGGCUCAACCCUGAGCCUGCAUUUGAAACUGUUUUUCUUGAGUGCUGGAGAGGCAAUCGGAAUUCCGUGUGUAGCGGUGAAAUGCGUAGAUAUAAGGAGGAACACCAGUGGCGAAGGCGGAUUGCUGGACAGUAACUGACGCUGAGGCGCGAAAGCGUGGGGAGCAAACAGGAUUAGAUACCCUUGUAGUC